GUCCACGCCGUAAACGAUGAUAACUAGGUGUCGGAGGAAUUGACCCCUUCGGUGCCACAGCUAACGCAUUAAGUUAUCCGCCUGGGAAGUACGGUCGCAAGACUAAAACUCAAAGGAAUUGACGGGGCCCGCACAAGCGGUGGAGUAUGUGGUUUAAUUCGACGCAACGCGAAGAACCUUACCUAGGCUAGAAAUCUGCAGGACGAUUAGUGGAAACAUUUUUCUCCUUCCGCAAGUGAGGUCUGCAGACAGGUGCUGCAUGGCUGUCGU
Molecule: ribosomal RNA, 270 nt
Filed under: uncultured bacterium
Lineage: Bacteria
Description: partial 16S ribosomal RNA
Rfam family: Bacterial small subunit ribosomal RNA
Source: RNAcentral